RNAcentral lists this ribosomal RNA (524 nucleotides) under uncultured bacterium. RNAcentral's name for it is "partial 16S ribosomal RNA". It matches the Rfam family "Bacterial small subunit ribosomal RNA", at positions 28 to 523 of the family's 1533-position model. The record is from RNAcentral.
GACGAACGCUGGCGGCGUGCCUAAUACAUGCAAGUCGAGCGCAGGAAACUGACGGAACUCUUCGGAGGGAAGGCAGUGGAAUGAGCGGCGGACGGGUGAGUAACACGUAAGGAACCUGCCUCAAGGAUUGGGAUAACUCCGAGAAAUCGGAGCUAAUACCGGAUAGUUCAUCGGACCGCAUGGUCCGUUGAUGAAAGGCGCUGCGGCGUCCCCUUGAGAUGGCCUUGCGGUGCAUUAGCUAGUUGGUGGGGUAACGGCCAACCAAGGCGACGAUGCAUAGCCGACCUGAGAGGGUGAUCGGCCACACUGGGACUGAGACACGGCCCAGACUCCUACGGGAGUCAGCAGUAGGGAAUCUUCCACAAUGGACGAAAGUCUGAUGGAGCAACGCCGCGUGUGUGAUGAAGGUUUUCGGAUCGUAAAACUCUGUUGUAAGGGAAGAACACGUACGAGAGGGAAUGCUCGUACCUUGACGGUACCUUACGAGAAAGCCACGGCUAACUACGUGCCAGCCGCCGCUGUAA